AAACUGUAAUAACUGAGGUACAUUGCCGGUCGGAUGAUCUAGGCAAUUGGGCCUCAGUGUACUUGCUUAGGUGGUCAGGAAUUUUUUGCAAUGGUCCAUCUCGAAUAUUGUCAGGCCCGUCCUUCACACCUGGAAGCCCUAUUGCGGACAUAGCCAAACCUAGGGUGGGUCUGAAAAAAAGGACCUUCUUAGUACUCACAGGACGAAUAUGUCGGAGAAAAUUGAGAGCGGGUAGAACCGUAGAAGUGUAGAAAAACGUGCCGAAGAGUGAAAAAAAAUAUUCGAUGGAUGAGAACAUUUCGAGUUAUGAAACAAUCUUUAAACUUUAAUAGAGACUGGAUUAAAGGGACUAAUUUAAGUGUCGCAGAAUUGAAGUGCAUAACAGCUCUAAAAUACACUAAAACUUCGCAUAUAUUUUAAAUUUUCUACACAAUUAACAGAUAAAUCCUAAAGUAUUCUAUGAGGCAAGGUGAACAAAUUGAUA
This 484-nucleotide long non-coding RNA is filed under the name Centruroides sculpturatus (bark scorpion). Its description in RNAcentral is "uncharacterized LOC111640976, transcript variant X1". Lineage: Eukaryota; Metazoa; Arthropoda; Arachnida; Scorpiones; Buthidae. The record is from RNAcentral.